UGAAACCGUUUAGGGGUAAACCUGAGAAACCCGAAAGGUCGAAGGGAGAAAUUCAUUCGCGUUUCGAGGCAGGCCGCGGACGGGAUCGUUGACGAGAGACGUGUUCGCACGUUUCGCGCUCGUCUCGUUCGUGGAUCCGGUCGCGAACGUGUGCACUUUUCUCCUGGUAGGACGUCGCGAUCCGUUGGGUGUCGGUCUACGGCGUAGAGUGGAGUCCGUCGGAUUUUCUUCCGGCGAACCUCAAUUGCCCGACCGGCUCGCCCGACGGUAUAUGAAAGGUUCGAGGCCGCUCUCGGAGCGUCCGACCCGUGGCAAGCUUGUAAUUGGUGUCGGUGAUCGGACCUGGUGCCGAUUCUGACCCGUUGCUACUGUUGGCCGCGGUGUUCUCGGACAGACCUCUUAGUAACCGAUCUGCGACGCUAUAGCUUUGGGUACUUUCAGGACCCGUCUUGAAACACGGACCAAGGAGUCUAGCAUGUGCGCGAGUCAUUGGGAUUCACUAAACCUAAAGGCGCAAUGAAAGUAAAGGUCUUCCUUGCGGAGACCGAGGGAAGACGGGCGGUUCGGCCUUAAAACCGACCGUUCAGCAUUCCCGGGGCGUCUCGUUCUCAUCGCGAGAAGAGGCGCACCAAGAGCGUACACGCUGGGACCCGAAAGAUGGUGAACUAUGCCUGGUCAGGACGAA
This 685-nucleotide ribosomal RNA is filed under the name Eidophelus jalappae. RNAcentral's name for it is "Scolytogenes jalappae partial large subunit ribosomal RNA". It matches the Rfam family "Eukaryotic large subunit ribosomal RNA", at positions 400 to 850 of the family's 3401-position model. The record is from RNAcentral. Lineage: Eukaryota; Metazoa; Arthropoda; Insecta; Coleoptera; Curculionidae.